This is a small nucleolar RNA of Dioscorea cayenensis subsp. rotundata (Guinea yam), 107 nucleotides long. The record is from RefSeq and is a predicted model, not a curated record. NCBI's taxonomy places the organism in Eukaryota, Viridiplantae, Streptophyta, Magnoliopsida, Dioscoreales, Dioscoreaceae.
AAUCCAUGUUGUGGGCACCUCCGCGAAACAUCCUUGAAGCGCUCCUAUGUCUCAAACAAUGACUCAAGAUCCAUCUGUACAAACGAUGAUAGCUCAUUGUGAAGGUU